Xyrichtys novacula (pearly razorfish) is the source of this 2102-nucleotide non-coding RNA. The record is from the annotation of a GenBank genome assembly. Lineage: Eukaryota; Metazoa; Chordata; Actinopteri; Labriformes; Labridae.
ACACACAGGAAAUUUCCAGGUUUUUCCUAUUCAACUCUUCUUUCUAGACACUAGGCUUUAAAUUUCACCUCGAGCUGGAUAAGGCAAGGAUCGAACCCACGACCUCAAGAGUCUCAGUCGGUCUUCUUACCCACUGAGCCAUGUGGACACAGGAAAUUUCCAGGUUUUUCUUAUUUAAGUCUUCUUUCUAGACACUAGGCUUUAAAUUUCACCUCGAGCUGGAUAAGGCAAGGAUCGAACCCACGACCUCAAGAGUCUCAGUCGGUCUUCUUACCCACUGAGCCAUGUGAACACAAAGGGUAACUCCAGGUUUUUCCUAUUUAACUCUUCUUUCUAGACACGUCUUUAAAUUUUAACUAGAUUUGGAUAAGGUAGGGCUCGAACCCACAACCUCAGGAGUGCCAGUCAGUCUUCUUAACCUCUGAGCCAUGUGGACACAUAGGAUAAUUCCGUUUUUUUCCUAUAUUGCUUUCCUUUACAGACACUAAACUUUAAAUUUUAGCUCAAGCUGGAUGAGGCGAGGAUCGAACCCACAACUUCAGGACCACUAGUCAGCCUUCUUAUCCUGUGAGCUAUGGAGACACACAGGCUUAUCUCGAUCAAGGUGAAAUUUAAAGUCUAGUGUCUAGAAAGGAGAGUGAAAUAGGAAACAAACAGGACCCUUCUCUGUGUCAAUGUGGCUCAGAGGAUAACAAGACUGACUGGCACUCCUGAGGUCGUGGGUUCAAUCCUUAUCCAUGUCUAGGUGAAGUCUAGUGUCCAGAAAGGAGAAUGAAAUCGAAUAAAACCGGAAUUCUUUUGUGUGUCCACAUGGCUCAGAGGAAAAGUAAACAAUAAACAUAAGCACAGAGUCUUGAGUCCUUUAGAUCACGUCGAAACCUCCAUUGUGAUUCUAUUAAGGCUGCAGAGAGGUUUCUGUGAGUCACGGUGUCAAAUAAUUUUCUCUAUAGUUAAACUAAAGGAACCUAAAAAUUAGCUCAACUCUCAGCUUUUAAAUCUCGGCACUGAAACAUGAAACUGCAGCUGUGAUACAAAGAAAAUCCUCUUACCUGAGAGCUUCAGCUCAGGGAAGAUGACUGCUCUGUCCUUCUUCCAGCGUGACGUCCAUCAUGCUCACAGUGACAGUGCUCUUUCUCCCCAACGAUUGAUGAGUGUCACGUGAUCACACACUGCGAAUACAGUGUGGCUUUUAAAUGCAUAUUUAGCGUUAACUUCAUUGUUUCGAUGAACACAUUUUCAUUUGUUAAAAUUUUACUUGGCGCUUUUAAAUUAGUCUAUGUAAUUUUAUAUAUAUCAAGACACGAGAAUAAUAGAAGCUUUGAAGAUGCACUGGCAUUUUUAAAAACAAAUGGUAUAAAUGGAUAUUGAUAGGUAAGUUCAUAUUAAGGUAUAAUCACCUGCAUGUGAUUUUUUUAAAACUUAGAAUGAACCAUAAGACCCCUUUCAACAGUUUAGUUGAGGAUUUUUAGAAUUUAAAUCCACGAUAGCACUGAAACUGCACAACUUUGGGUGACUAAUGGUCUACUGAUCGCCGCGGACUGUGGUCUUCUCUUUGUACUUGUUUUGUUGGAUCAGGGUGCUGCUUUCCAUACAAUUUUCCAUCACAUUCUGUUACAAUGGCUUGACUAACAUAUAAGUACAACUGGAAUUACUUACCAAGGUCAGUUACGAGGUUCCGCAGGGUUCAGUGCAAAGACCAAUAAGCUGAGCACCUUUUCCUCCUCCUCCACACUCUUUCUGUCUGUAUCAUUAACUUUAAAAGAUCAUAUUCCAUAAGAGUCACUAAGCAGUCUUGUCCAGGAGUUCAUGUGGUCUGGAUUGCUGCUGCAAACAUUUUGCUGCUUUAGCUACAUGCAACAGUCUCACCUCUGUCUCUCUCUGUGUUUCUGCAACCCCCUUCUAUCCCAUCUCUAAAUCCUAUGCAGAUCGGCAGAUGACUGUCUAACGUGUCUGAUUCUGUGCAAGGUUUCUGCCUGUCAAAUGAUGUUUCUCCUCUGCACUCUAACUUGCUAGGUGCUACACUCGUGAUUGAAGAUGGGAUAGAAGUGGGUCUGAUUCGACUGGAUGGGGUUUAAUCUUUACAUUGGGUCUUUGUAAACGGA